GAAGUGAUCUGUUUUGUGUUGUUUCAGAGUCUCAUACUGUAAGAGUAUCUCCAGAUGUCAUAAGAGAGUCCAGCUCAGUGAAGAUCAGCUGUGAGACGCCAGCAGAAUGUUACAGUGAAUUAGAGUUAUUUCAACACAAACAAAGAACAGAAGAAUAUAAAAACUCAUGGCUUUAUUUCUGUCUGGACUCAUAGGAAUCAUCUGUCUGUGCCACUUUACCAGUUCUGCUGAUGUUCUCACAGAGCUGAACUACACCUCCUGCCAGAUGGAAACAACAUCUCUUUUAACUUCCUCAAAACAUGGAUGACCUGUUUAUGUUCUUCACUUGUUGCCUCUGAAGAAAAAAAUGAUAUGUACAGAAAGAUAAUACAGCAUAAAGCAACUUAAUUCAUAUUCUGAUCAGCAGGCCAGACAGAAUCUGAAUUUUGAUUUUGGG
RNAcentral lists this long non-coding RNA (436 nucleotides) under Sinocyclocheilus anshuiensis. Its description in RNAcentral is "lncRNA (ENSSANG00000051533.1)". Lineage: Eukaryota; Metazoa; Chordata; Actinopteri; Cypriniformes; Cyprinidae. The record is from RNAcentral.